UGAUCCUGGCUCAGAACGAACGCUGGCGGCAGGCUUAACACAUGCAAGUCGAGCGCUCACUUCGGUGGGAGCGGCAGACGGGUGAGUAACGCGUGGGAAUCUACCUAGUUCUACGGAAUAGCUUCGGGAAACUGGAAUUAAUACCGUAUACGCCCUCCGGGGGAAAGAUUUAUCGGAGUUAGAUGAGCCCGCGUUAGAUUAGCUAGUUGGUGGGGUAAUGGCCUACCAAGGCGACGAUCUAUAGCUGGUCUGAGAGGAUGAUCAGCCACACUGGGACUGAGACACGGCCCAGACUCCUACGGGAGGCAGCAGUGGGGAAUAUUGGACAAUGGGCGAAAGCCUGAUCCAGCCAUGCCGCGUGUGUGAUGAAGGCCUUAGGGUUGUAAAGCACUUUCAACGGGGAAGAUAAUGACGGUACCCGUAGAAGAAGCCCCGGCUAACUUCGUGCCAGCAGCCGCGGUAAUACGAAGGGGGCUAGCGUUGUUCGGAAUUACUGGGCGUAAAGCGCGCGUAGGCGGAUUGAUCAGUUAGGGGUGAAAUCCCAAGGCUCAACCUUGGAACUGCCUCUAAUACUGUCAAUCUAGAGUUCUAGAGAGGUGAGUGGAAUUCCGAGUGUAGAGGUGAAAUUCGUAGAUAUUCGGAGGAACACCAGUGGCGAAGGCGGCUCACUGGCUAGAUACUGACGCUGAGGUGCGAAAGUGUGGGGAGCAAACAGGAUUAGAUACCCUGGUAGU
Molecule: ribosomal RNA, 734 nt
Filed under: uncultured marine bacterium
Lineage: Bacteria
Description: bacterial SSU rRNA
Rfam family: Bacterial small subunit ribosomal RNA
Source: RNAcentral